This 253-nucleotide ribosomal RNA is filed under the name uncultured bacterium. Its description in RNAcentral is "partial 16S ribosomal RNA". It matches the Rfam family "Bacterial small subunit ribosomal RNA", at positions 524 to 776 of the family's 1533-position model. The record is from RNAcentral.
UACGUAGGGCGCAAGCGUUAUCCGGAAUUCUUGGGCGUAAAGAGCUCGUAGGCGGUUUGUCGCGUCUGCCGUGAAAGUCCGGGGCUCAACUCCGGAUCUGCGGUGGGUACGGGCAGACUAGAGUGAUGUAGGGGAGACUGGAAUUCCUGGUGUAGCGGUGAAAUGCGCAGAUAUCAGGAGGAACACCGAUGGCGAAGGCAGGUCUCUGGGCAUUAACUGACGCUGAGGCGCGAAAGCUAGGGGAGCAAACGGG